GAUUGCCAGCGCCUGCAGCUAGCUAGCUGUACUAAAGCUCCGGUCGGGCCGGUCACGUAGUUGUUGACGAGUUGGUGAACUUGUCUUAGCUUAGAUUUCACAUUAUUCAUGCCUACAUGAGCUGCAUACAACUGCUCUAAUCGCUAGGAUUGGGAUGGACAUUGAUUUCAUUUCCAUUCAGCUUUUGGACUGUACCGGUACUGUAACAUAGUAUGGAUGGUCAAUAUGAAGCAAGCUUCAUUGAAUUCCUCCAAGAGCUCUGUACUCUGUUCUGAUUAGACAGGAUGCUGCCCCAACCAUAUUUGAUUUCCCGCCUCGUCUUAAGUAGAAAUGACCCAAACCAAGGAAUUCCUGGAAAGAAUUUCGAUUUUGCAAACACCCUCCCAGAUACUGCAAAGACACCUGUACCAAAGUCUUCAGCACCUUCAUUUCUCGAGGACCACUACUACUCAAUACCAGAAAGUCCAAGAGGAGUAAAGUGGAAGUUAACACCAAUAAUGGACUGUUAUAAAAACUUGGAGAAGAGGCCGAAGACCACACAGAAAUCCUGUAGUGUAGAUCACAUGUACUUGCUGUUAAGUUUGGACAAACAUAAUUUGCACAACUUUACAACAAAUAAUUUACACUGUGUGCAUUCUGAUUAUUUGAAAUAGUUUAUCACUGGGCAUGUAACAAAAGUGAAUUCAUUAAAUAGGAAUG
RNAcentral lists this long non-coding RNA (699 nucleotides) under Lytechinus variegatus (green sea urchin). Its description in RNAcentral is "uncharacterized LOC121411482, transcript variant X1". The record is from RNAcentral. Lineage: Eukaryota; Metazoa; Echinodermata; Echinoidea; Temnopleuroida; Toxopneustidae.